This 497-nucleotide ribosomal RNA is filed under the name uncultured bacterium. RNAcentral's name for it is "partial 16S ribosomal RNA". It matches the Rfam family "Bacterial small subunit ribosomal RNA", at positions 28 to 507 of the family's 1533-position model. The record is from RNAcentral.
GAUGAACGCUGGCGGCGUGCCUAAUACAUGCAAGUCGAGCGAACAGACGAGGAGCUUGCUCCUCUGACGUUAGCGGCGGACGGGUGAGUAACACGUGGAUAACCUACCUAUAAGACUGGGAUAACUUCGGGAAACCGGAGCUAAUACCGGAUAAUAUAUUGAACCGCAUGGUUCAAUAGUGAAAGACGGUUUUGCUGUCACUUAUAGAUGGUUCCGCGCCGCAUUAGCUAGUUGGUAAGGUAACGGCUUACCAAGGCGACGCUGCGUAGCCGACCUGAGAGGGUGAUCGGCCACACUGGAACUGAGACACGGUCCAGACUCCUACGGGAGGCAGCAGUAGGGAAUCUUCCGCAAUGGGCGAAAGCCUGACGGAGCAACGCCGCGUGAGUGAUGAAGGUCUUCGGAUCGUAAAACUCUGUUAUUAGGGAAGAACAAAUGUGUAAGUAACUAUGCACGUCUUGACGGUACCUAAUCAGAAAGCCACGGCUAACUACGUG